UGCAUCUCCUUGAAAGCUGUCCCCGAUGGGAUUUCCAGGUACCGCCAGUCUGUGUGUGUCUGUGUGUCUGUCUGUGUGUGUCCGCGUGUGUAUCUUCCUGUGUGUGUGUUGAUUAGUGUGUGGGAGCCCUGUAUGCUGGACAUGAGUGUGGCUGCCACCCGCAGGCCCCCUAAUCACCUGCCGAUCCCUAGGAGUCAAUCCUCCUGAAAGAAGACCAACACAGCACACCCAAAAGCAAACUCUUCCAUGGGCCCUUGGUCCUAUGGCACAUGUAGGGCUGUUACUG
Molecule: long non-coding RNA, 286 nt
Filed under: Aotus nancymaae (Ma's night monkey)
Lineage: Eukaryota; Metazoa; Chordata; Mammalia; Primates; Aotidae
Description: lncRNA (ENSANAG00000038875.1)
Source: RNAcentral